GGGGUCUCACAGUAGUGCCAGGUGGGUCUCGAAUGCCUGGCCUCAAGAGAUCACGAGAUCCUCCCACCUCAGCUUCCCAAAAUGCUGGGAUUACAGGCAGGCCUUGGAAUUAUUUGUCUGCAUUUUAGAGUUCAGUGUAGUUUGUAUUUGUAAUUCCAUGUUGCUGGGGGGCGGGGCUUAUUGUCCCUGGGGCACUAAGAUCUUGCAGUGCUUAGAGCCUCCAGGGGCUUCACUGGGGCUUGGAAGAGGUGCUAGGUCACAGUACGUAAAGAGCAGCUGGCAACUGUCACUGUGAUGGAUAUUGUAUGUAGGCAUCCAGCGUGUCACCCUCCCUUCCUGAUUCUGGGCCUUAGAAUCCCAGGACCACAAAAGGAAGUGAUUUCCCACACAGAGACCUAGACCACAGCGGUCACUCACUGCCCAGGGCAGCUGCCAGCCUGCUACCCACCUCACUUCCUCAGCCCAGCUGUGGAAAACCAACUCUGCCAUCUUCCUGGGAUUCCAAGGAACCGUCACAAGUUCCUGGCGGCCUCAGGUGUCUGGCUUAAAGGGACAGACUCCAGUUUGUGGAAGUGCUGGCCGAGCUUGAGUUGAUCAGGAGGAUGACGCCUGGCCAGGACUCUGAGCUGAAAGCCUGGGAGGGGUAGAGGAAGAGUACCAGGAUCGUGCCACAGGGGCGAGGUGGGAGAGGCAGCUCCCCUGGGCCUGCUGUGUCAUCACUUGGAGCUUAGCCAUGGCCACAGGUACCUCCAACAGCUCUCUCAAAAACUAGCCAAGGCCUGUCUGCCACUCACCAAGGGCACCCACUCCACCUGCCUCUGCUUUGUGCUGAUGCAAAGGACUUUUUUUGCAGUACAACCUAGCAAUUUCUGAGCACUUUUCACCCACUGAUUCUCACAAGCACCCUGAGGGAGUACACAUUAUCCUCACUUUGCAGAUGAAGAAGUUAAUCAGAGAGGUCGGGACACUUGUCUAAGGUCACACAGCUAGAAGUGGUAUCUUGGUAAGAAAAGGUGGGGAGGAUUAACAAUGGUAAGAACUCUUGCUGUGUGCCAGGCCUUGCGCCAGGGAUUCAAUAUAUGUUCUUUCAUUCCCAUAGCAGCUCUGCACAGACAAUGACUAUUAUCUCUUCCUACAAGGAGGAAAUGGGAGAUCAAAGGGGAAAGCCAGGUCUGCUUUCUGCGCCAGCAUUCCAAGCCGUGGUCCCUUUGUCCUGCUGGCUGAGUCGGGCUGGAUCUGAGAGGCCACACUGUCACAAGGUACAUUCUAGAUGCCCUUUGUCUACUGCUGUCCCAGGACAGAGCCAAGAACUUGUGUGGGAUGCAAUAUGGAGUCCUGAUAAAGGGUUUGUGGCCUGCCACCUGGUAUAUGCACUGCCUGUGCCCCAAGGGAGAGGUGAGAAGGCAGGUUCCAGUCCCUUCUAUGGCAAAGCCUGUGGGUGAGCCGGGAAAGGCAGACAACAAGGAAAUAAAGCAGACAGCAUGAGCCGCAGGCUUCCAGCAGGGUCCCAGUGCCACCAGGCGAGGCCAAACCAGGAGGCCAGCGUGGGCAGGAGCCCAGGGAAGGGCUUCAUGGAGGAGGAGUCUCCAUGACCUCACAGAGCACCAGCAACAAGCUGGCAGCAUCAGGACUGAGGUGUGGUGAGGCCGGAGCCCUGCAAAGCCCCCACCUAAGCACACAAGGCCUGCGACAGCAUCAUAGCAUGAGGGUCAAGGCUGAGGGGACUUAGCCGGGAAGACAUCAGAAACAGUCUGAAACUCAAGAGAGAGCCCUCGUGACCACCUCAGCCGGGACUCAGACCAGCAGCCUCCCAGGAAGCGGCUUGAAGCACAAGCUGGGCCCUGCUGCAGUCACCUGGUGUCCCUUUCAAGCUGGGCCACUCGCACUUUCCAGUCCCAGCCUUGCACAGAACUCUCAUCCCUACAAAUAACAAUUUAGUUUCUGACCUUUCACUCAAUCGUUCCAGCCUCAGGUCUUUAUUUUUGGUUUUCCUGUUAUCUUUCUAUUGUUGAGAUGUAGCGAAUACACUGAAAAGGGCGCAGAACAUACACUUUUGGUCAAUGCCUGUACCACCA
RNAcentral lists this long non-coding RNA (2075 nucleotides) under Homo sapiens (human). Its description in RNAcentral is "HSALNT0176972". The record is from RNAcentral. Lineage: Eukaryota; Metazoa; Chordata; Mammalia; Primates; Hominidae.